GAAAUGCGAUAAGUAGUGUGAAUUGCAGAAUUCCGUGAAUCAUCGAAUCUUUGAACGCAUAUUGCACUCUCUAGUAUUCUGGGGAGUAUACCUGUUUGAGUAUCAGUUAAACCAACUCACCCCAAAUUUUUUAUUGUUUUAAAUAAAAAUUUGGAAAACUUUGGUGGACUUGAGUUACCGUAGCCUUUUUACAAAAGAAAAAAGGCCGCGCAACUUUAAAUGUAUAGGGAAAACCCAGGUCUUUUAUAUUAAAAACCUGAAUUUUAAGGCGUGAUAUGAGAACUUUUAGUUUUUCACUCGCUUGAAAUAAUUCAGUUUGUUUUUAUGACCUUGGGAUUUUUUUCUGCAGGAAAAAAUUACAGUCAUUCUUUUUGACUGCGAUUUUGAUCUCAAAUCAGGU
RNAcentral lists this unclassified non-coding RNA (400 nucleotides) under uncultured fungus. Its description in RNAcentral is "sequence contains ITS1". The stretch from base 1 to 105 matches the Rfam family "5.8S ribosomal RNA", at positions 50 to 154 of the family's 154-position model. The record is from RNAcentral. Lineage: Eukaryota; Fungi.